Molecule: ribosomal RNA, 449 nt
Filed under: Photobacterium sp.
Lineage: Bacteria; Pseudomonadati; Pseudomonadota; Gammaproteobacteria; Vibrionales; Vibrionaceae
Description: bacterial SSU rRNA
Rfam family: Bacterial small subunit ribosomal RNA
Source: RNAcentral
AAUGCCUGGGAAUAUGCCCAGGAUGAGAGGGAUAACCAUUGGAAACGAUGGCUAAUACCGCAUAAUCUCUUCGGAGCAAAGAGGGGGACCUUCGGGCCUCUCGCGUCAGGAUUAGCCCAGGUGAGAUUAGCUUGUUGGUGAGGUAAGAGCUCACCAAGGCAACGAUCUCUAGCUGGUCUGAGAGGAUGAUCAGCCACACUGGAACUGAGACACGGUCCAGACUCCUACGGGAGGCAGCAGUGGGGAAUAUUGCACAAUGGGGGAAACCCUGAUGCAGCCAUGCCGCGUGUAUGAAGAAGGCCUUCGGGUUGUAAAGUACUUUCAGUUGUGAGGAAGGCGUUGUCGUUAAUAGCGGCAAUGUUUGACGUUAGCAACAGAAGAAGCACCGGCUAACUCCGUGCCAGCAGCCGCGGUAAUACGGAGGGUGCGAGCGUUAAUCGGAAUUACUG